This 27-nucleotide non-coding RNA is filed under the name Mus musculus (house mouse). Lineage: Eukaryota; Metazoa; Chordata; Mammalia; Rodentia; Muridae. The record is from RNAcentral.
UAAGGAAGCAUCGCCAAAUUGAAGAGG